RNAcentral lists this small RNA (577 nucleotides) under Histoplasma ohiense. RNAcentral's name for it is "hypothetical lncRNA". Lineage: Eukaryota; Fungi; Ascomycota; Eurotiomycetes; Onygenales; Ajellomycetaceae. The record is from RNAcentral.
UUGGGCAAUUCCUUGUCCGACCUAGCGCUGGCACCUUAGCGCGGGUUUCUUACAAUAUAUAAUUUCAUGAGAAUGAGUGAAAUGAGGGAGUGUGGUCAUCGAAUAGAUGCAGGGUUUCUUCUUGACUUUUAGAACUACAUUUGAACACUAGUUAUUUUGCAUGUAAAGCUGAUGUAUGCAUUAGCAUUAAACUUGUUAAAAAUUAGUCAAUUCUUGGCCAGGUGUAAAUAGCCUACUUCUGGGUGUAAAUAUCCAUCCCUGGUGGAGGAAUGCUGGACACUGCAGAUUUUAGGGAAAUGCAGAGAUUAGGGCAGGCAGGAAUUCAAGCCAAAGCCAUCGGUUGGCUGUUGGCAGUUGCCGGGAUAGCUGCUCGACUGCAUAAUCACGCACACAUGCCGCAGGUCUUGUGAGCGGGGAGUGCAUCAAAGAUACAGACAAUGGCUACCAUUGCUAUCAUGACCCUCAGCGGGUUCUGUCUUUGAUGCGACACGUCUGUUUCCCGGCUGGAAUUGGCGAUGGCCGCUACUGAUGUUGGUUGUCGUUUUUCUUCGGCCAGCAAUAGAUCUUUGGAACCUUG